GCAGCUCUCCGGCACGUCGAGGACUGCGCGCUGCGGCUUCGCCUGCUCCGGCUCCUGCACCGGAUUCCUGACGGACGGCACCCGCACGGCUUGCGGCCGCUCUUUGGCAGCUGAGUCACUCGCCGUCCUCUCCGACACGCACUGCCGAAGGAGUACUCGGCCAUCGACUUAACGUGCUCGUUGUACUUGAGCAUGACGAAAAGCAAGACCGAGAAGAGGAAGACGAAGACGAAGACGGGGUUCCUGCCGCUCCUCCGGCCUCCGUACAACAGCGAGCGCUUCAUCGUGAGGAGGCUUCCGUGAGAGGGCGAUCGCAUCUCACGUGGGAGCUUAUCGUGCUGCAGAGGAAGGAGGAAGUGGCGUGAAUCGGUGGGAGAAGAAAGGAGAGAGCCGCAUGAAUUCAAGAUUGCACAUGCAAUAACUUGUUCUGUUUGUUCGGAGUAAUUAUUCUCUCCCAACGCCAAAUGUGGUAAAAGUUCAACAAGUAGAUUUAGCUCACA
This is a long non-coding RNA of Musa acuminata AAA Group (dessert banana), 500 nucleotides long. RefSeq lists it as uncharacterized. NCBI's taxonomy places the organism in Eukaryota, Viridiplantae, Streptophyta, Magnoliopsida, Zingiberales, Musaceae. The record is from RefSeq and is a predicted model, not a curated record. The transcript has 2 exons.